GAUGAACGCUGGCGGCGUGCUUAACACAUGCCAGUCGAACGGAAAGGCUCCUGCUUGCCGGGGUACUCGAGUGGCGAACGGGUGAGUAACACGUGGGUGAUCUGCCCUGCACUUCGGGAUAAGCCUGGGAAACUGGGUCUAAUACCGGAUAGGACCACAUUUUGGAUGGUGUGGUGGAAAGUUUUUCGGUGUGGGAUGAGCUCGCGGCCUAUCAGCUUGUUGGUGGGGUAAUGGCCUACCAAGGCGUCGACGGGUAGCCGACCUGAGAGGGUGUACGGCCACAUUGGGACUGAGAUACGGCCCAGACUCCUACGGGAGGCAGCAGUGGGGAAUAUUGCACAAUGGGCGCAAGCCUGAUGCAGCGACGCCGCGUGGGGGAUGACGGCCUUCGGGUUGUAAACUCCUUUCGCUAGGGACGAAGCGCAAGUGACGGUACCUGGAGAAGAAGCACCGGCUAACUACGUG
This 465-nucleotide ribosomal RNA is filed under the name uncultured bacterium. RNAcentral describes it as "partial 16S ribosomal RNA". It matches the Rfam family "Bacterial small subunit ribosomal RNA", at positions 28 to 507 of the family's 1533-position model. The record is from RNAcentral.